UGAAACAAAGAUACUCAAGCAGACCCAUCUUAAUUAUCCAACAUUUCUGUAAUUAGCUUGUCUUUUAAGGCUUCUUCUACUUCCGAAAGUGCCUCUUUUUUUGCAAGGAGUCUUUCAAGCAGAUUCAUCUUGGCCAGACUCUCUUUCACUGCCACACGUAACACAUCAAGCCACACAUAAACAGAACAAGAACAUUCUUCUUAAACUACUAAAACAGAACAGGAAACAUAAAUAUGAAACAAAGACACUCAAGCAGACCCAUCUUAAUUAUCCAACAUUUCUGUAAUUAGCUUGUCCUUUAAGGCUUCUUCUACUUCCGAAAGUGCCUUUUUUUUUGCAAGGAGUCUUUCAAGCAGAUUCAUCUUGGUCAGUCUCUCUUUCACUGCCAAGUCCUUCUCUUUGAUUGACCACAUUCUCUGAAACUCAUCGACACCCUUUCCAUCCACUAUAGGUCUCCUACCACUUGCUUUUUUCGCUGCCUUAACACCAAGUGGCCGUUUGGUUGGUUCAUCUUCUACAUUGAUAGU
This 527-nucleotide long non-coding RNA is filed under the name Brassica napus (rape). RNAcentral's name for it is "long non-coding RNA (BNAP_LNC014188)". The record is from RNAcentral. Lineage: Eukaryota; Viridiplantae; Streptophyta; Magnoliopsida; Brassicales; Brassicaceae.